AGUCGUGGACCAAUAUUUGUAUCAAUCCCUACCGUUUAAGGAUUAUUCAGAGCGGUUUCUAGUUUUUAUUUUGAAAAUAAAAUAAUUAAAAUUAAUUUUCACUUAAGAUUAGCUCAAACACAUGAGCGAUAGUAAUCGUGGGCCAGCAAGGCAACAACCAUCACUACGAUGAACCAUCACAAUGACGGCCGCCUCUAACGAACACCGCUUUCAACCACAACAGCAAUCCUCCACUUGCAAUCCAGUCGGGUGGAGUUGAAAUGGGUGAUAAAUCUCCCCAAAAGUUGUAAUGCAACAGCAUUUUUAGGUUCAGAUAUGAACUCUAGACUCAGUUUAUGUUAUGCCAGAAGAGAUUUGUGUCUUAUGACCUUACAUCUGUAAUUGUUGUUAGUUUCCUUUAAGACUGACCACUGUUCUGUAGCGUACUCCUGUUAUUGGAUUCUUGCUUUAUUUAUCAUUA
Molecule: non-coding RNA, 460 nt
Organism: Cicer arietinum (chickpea)
Lineage: Eukaryota; Viridiplantae; Streptophyta; Magnoliopsida; Fabales; Fabaceae
Source: RefSeq, a predicted model, not a curated record